RNAcentral lists this ribosomal RNA (495 nucleotides) under uncultured bacterium. RNAcentral's name for it is "partial 16S ribosomal RNA". It matches the Rfam family "Bacterial small subunit ribosomal RNA", at positions 28 to 507 of the family's 1533-position model. The record is from RNAcentral.
GAUGAACGCUGGCGGCGUGCCUAAUACAUGCAAGUAGAACGCUGAAGGAGGAGCUUGCUCUUCUGGAUGAGUUGCGAACGGGUGAGUAACGCGUAGGUAACCUGCCUGGUAGCGGGGGAUAACUAUUGGAAACGAUAGCUAAUACCGCAUGACAACAGUUAUUGCAUGAUAACUGUUUAAAAGGGGCAACUGCUCCACUACCAGAUGGACCUGCGUUGUAUUAGCUAGUUGGUGAGGUAACGGCUCACCAAGGCGACGAUACAUAGCCGACCUGAGAGGGUGAUCGGCCACACUGGGACUGAGACACGGCCCAGACUCCUACGGGAGGCAGCAGUAGGGAAUCUUCGGCAAUGGACGGAAGUCUGACCGAGCAACGCCGCGGGAGUGAAGAAGGUUUUCGGAUCGUAAAGCUCUGUUGUAAGAGAAGAACGAGUGUGAGAGUGGAAAGCUCACACUGUGACGGUAGCUUACCAGAAAGGGACGGCUAACUACGUG